UAGGGAAUCUUCGGCAAUGGACGAAAGUCUGACCGAGCAACGCCGCGUGAGUGAAGAAGGUUUUCGGAUCGUAAAACUCUGUUGGUAGAGAAGAACGUUGGUGAGAGUGGAAAGCUCAUCAAGUGACGGUAACUACCCAGAAAGGGACGGCUAACUACGUGCCAGCAGCCGCGGUAAUACGUAGGUCCCCGAGCGUUGUCCGGAUUUAUUGGGCGUAAAGCGAGCGCAGGUGGUUUAUUAAGUCUGGUGUAAAAGGCAGUGGCUCAACCAUUGUAUGCAUUGGAAAACUGGUAGAC
This 296-nucleotide ribosomal RNA is filed under the name uncultured bacterium. Its description in RNAcentral is "partial 16S ribosomal RNA". It matches the Rfam family "Bacterial small subunit ribosomal RNA", at positions 355 to 641 of the family's 1533-position model. The record is from RNAcentral.